GAUGAACGCUGGCGGCGUGCUUAAUACAUGCAAGUCGAGCGGACGGACGCGGCGCUUGCUUCUCUGACGUUAGCCGCGCACGGGUGUGUAACACGUGUAUAACCUCCCUAUCUGACUGGGAUCACUUCGAGACACCGGCGCUAAUACCGGAUAAUAUUUUGCACCACAUUGUUCGAUGGUAAAAUACGGUCUUUCUGUCUCUACUCGCUGCUUACGCGCUGCAUGAGCUAGUUGGCAAGGUAACGGCUUACCAAGGCGACGAUGCAUAGCCGACCUGAGAGGGUGAUCGGCCACACUGGAACUGAGACACGGUCCAGACUCCUACGGGAGGCAGCAGUAGGGAAUCUUCCGCAAUGGGCGAAAGCCUGACGGAGCAACGCCGCGUGAGUGAUGAAGGUCUUCGGAUCGUAAAACUCUGUUAUUAGGGAAGAACAUAUGUGUAAGUAACUGUGCACAUCUUGACGGUACCUAAUCAGAAAGCCACGGCUAACUACGUG
RNAcentral lists this ribosomal RNA (497 nucleotides) under uncultured bacterium. RNAcentral describes it as "partial 16S ribosomal RNA". It matches the Rfam family "Bacterial small subunit ribosomal RNA", at positions 28 to 507 of the family's 1533-position model. The record is from RNAcentral.